Molecule: ribosomal RNA, 301 nt
Filed under: uncultured bacterium
Lineage: Bacteria
Description: partial 16S ribosomal RNA
Rfam family: Bacterial small subunit ribosomal RNA
Source: RNAcentral
CAGCAGCCGCGGUAAUACGUAGGGUGCGAGCGUUAAUCGGAAUUACUGGGCGUAAAGCGGGCGCAGACGGUUACUUAAGCAGGAUGUGAAACCCCCGGGCUCAACCUGGGAACUGCGUUCUGAACAGGGUGACUAGAGUGUGUCAGAGGGAGGUAGAAUUCCACGUGUAGCAGUGAAAUGCGUAGAGAUGUGGAGGAAUACCGAUGGCGAAGGCAGCCUCCUGGGAUAACACUGACGUUCAUGCCCGAAAGCGUGGGUAGCAAACAGGAUUAGAUACCCCCGUAGUCCCUGUCUCUUAUAC